Molecule: long non-coding RNA, 544 nt
Filed under: Salmo salar (Atlantic salmon)
Lineage: Eukaryota; Metazoa; Chordata; Actinopteri; Salmoniformes; Salmonidae
Description: lncRNA (ENSSSAG00000107213.1)
Source: RNAcentral
CUGGAGAAAAGCUUUAGCCAAGAAAGAGGACCAGACUGGAUUUCCACUUUGGCGGGAGAAUCUAAUUUUAUCCGGAACUUCAGCCCUGCGCUUGGAGAGAGCCCUAGGACGCAGGGCUAAUGGAACGUGAAGUAUGGACUUUUUCGACCGAAAAUACAUCUGUUGUGGACCUGGGAUGCUUUCUGAUGAAGACAACUAAAGGUUAACGACCUCUGCCUGACCUGACCCUGAGCCCGCCUGCUGUCCUGUAUCUUACACCCUCUCUGGAUUAUUGACCCUGCCUGCCUUGACCUGUCAUUGGCCUGCCCCUGUUUGAGGAAUAUACUUUAGUUUCUUCAACACUGUCUGCACCUGGGUCAUAUCCUAACAUGUGAUACAUUACCAUGCUUUCAAAGCACUUAAUGGUUACCUGUCAACAAGCUUCAUGAGGUAGUCACCUGGAAUGCAUUUCAAUUAACAGGUGUGCCUUGUUGACAGUCAAUUUGUGGAAUUUCUUUCCUUCUUAAUGCGUUUGAGCCAAUCAGUUGUGUUGUGACAAGGUAGG